This 253-nucleotide ribosomal RNA is filed under the name uncultured bacterium. RNAcentral's name for it is "partial 16S ribosomal RNA". It matches the Rfam family "Bacterial small subunit ribosomal RNA", at positions 524 to 776 of the family's 1533-position model. The record is from RNAcentral.
UACGGGGGGGGCAAGCGUUGUUCGGAAUUACUGGGCGUAAAGGGCGCGUAGGCGGCCUGCUAAGUCGGACGUGAAAUCCCCCGGCUCAACCGGGGAACUGCGUCCGAUACUGGUGGGCUCGAAUCCGGGAGAGGGAUGUGGAAUUCCAGGUGUAGCGGUGAAAUGCGCAGAUAUCAGGAGGAACACCGGUGGCGAAGGCGGGUCUCUGGGCCGGAACUGACGCUAAGGAGCGAAAGCGUGGGGAGCGAACAGG